UCAGAAAGGUAAGGAUCAUUUCAAUGAUUGGUGAUACAUAGGAUCUUUGCAUUUCACGUGCCAAAUAUAUUUAUAUUUUUUUAGAUGCAGACAUUGGGAAUGAAGAUUGUGGCUCUUGCAGUCAUCAUGAUGCUGGUCUCCAGCUCUAUGGCUAAACCUGCCCAUGUGAUUGAAAAGCGCUCAAGUGAAGAGAAUCGGCAAACUACCACCACCAACACCAACACCCAAACUCUCCUUCAGCUGACUCAGCUGCUCCAGUUAUUGCAGGCCCUCAGAGCUCUCAUUCCAGCUCAAUGAUGUGUUCAU
Long non-coding RNA from Limanda limanda (common dab), 306 nucleotides. RefSeq lists it as uncharacterized. NCBI's taxonomy places the organism in Eukaryota, Metazoa, Chordata, Actinopteri, Pleuronectiformes, Pleuronectidae. The transcript is spliced from 3 exons. The record is from RefSeq and is a predicted model, not a curated record.